This 68-nucleotide transfer RNA is filed under the name Marmota monax (woodchuck). Its description in RNAcentral is "tRNA.Thr". Lineage: Eukaryota; Metazoa; Chordata; Mammalia; Rodentia; Sciuridae. The record is from RNAcentral.
GGAUUGUGGCUCAGUGACAGAGCGAUUGUCUUGUACAUAUAAGGCCCGGGGUUCGAUCCUCAGCACCA